AUGAAGGCCCUCAUUCUUGUGGGAGGAUUCGGCACUCGCCUGCGGCCGCUGACGCUCAGCGUGCCGAAGCCGCUCGUCGAUUUCGCCAACAAGCCCAUGAUCCUGCAUCAGAUCGAGGCUCUGAAAGAUGUGGGAGUCACAGAAGUUGUCCUGGCCAUCAAUUACCAGCCAGAGGUCAUGCUCAACUUUCUCAAGGACUUCGAGAGCAAGCUUGGCAUCAAGAUCACCUGCUCCCAGGAGACAGAGCCAAUGGGAACCGCCGGACCGCUGGCCCUUGCCCGCGACAAGCUCGACGACGGAUCCGGCGAGCCUUUCUUCGUCCUCAACAGCGACGUGAUCAGCGAGUACCCGUUCGCAGAGCUCAUCGAGUUCCACAAGUCCCAUGGCGGCGAGGCCACGAUCAUGGUCACCAAGGUGGACGAGCCUUCCAAGUACGGCGUGGUGGUGACGGAGGAGGAGACCGGGAAGGUGGAGCGGUUCGUGGAGAAGCCCAAGGUGUUCGUGGGCAACAAGAUCAACGCCGGCAUCUACCUGCUGAGCCCGUCCGUGCUGGACCGCAUCGAGCUGAAGCCGACGUCCAUCGAGAAGGAGGUGUUCCCGCGCAUCGCCGCCGACAAGGGCCUGUACGCCAUGGUGCUGCCGGGGUUCUGGAUGGACAUCGGGCAGCCGAGGGACUACAUCACGGGGCUGCGCCUCUACCUGGAGUCCCUGAGGAAGCGGGCGCCGGCGAGGCUGGCGGCGGGCGCGCACGUGCUGGGCAACGUGCUGGUGCACGAGACGGCGACGAUCGGGGAGGGGUGCCUGAUCGGGCCGGACGUGGCCGUCGGGCCCGGGUGCGUGGUGGAGGCCGGGGUGCGGCUGUCGAGGUGCACCGUGAUGCGGGGCGCCCGCGUGAAGAAGCACGCGUGCAUCUCCGGCAGCAUCGUGGGGUGGCACUCGACGGUGGGCAAGUGGGCGCGCGUGGAGAACAUGACCAUCCUCGGCGAGGACGUGCACGUCUGCGACGAGGUGUAUAGCAACGGCGGCGUCGUGCUCCCGCACAAGGAGAUCAAGUCCAGCAUCCUCAAGCCCGAGAUCGUCAUGUGA
This 1086-nucleotide ribosomal RNA is filed under the name Triticum aestivum (bread wheat). RNAcentral's name for it is "partial small subunit ribosomal RNA". The record is from RNAcentral. Lineage: Eukaryota; Viridiplantae; Streptophyta; Magnoliopsida; Poales; Poaceae.